AUGGUCAACACAAAUGUGUUUAGUAUCCAUAUCAAGAGAUCUACACUUCCAUGUGAUGUCCAUGUUAUGUUUGUCUUUCACUUGCAUUCCAGUAACUUGGAUUAAGCAUAUCCCCUCACGAAAGGUUUCUUGCAGGAUAAAGCAUUGAUGGAAGAUCCAAUCUAUGAGGAAUUCUAGCAAAGGGAUGUGGAAGAAUCAAUUAGGCAAGGAAAUGCAAAGGAAGCUGCUCUGCAGGUCUCAAACUGGGGUUUCAGCCUGUUGGACCUCAAGUUGUAGAAGAAAAAACAGAGUGGAAGUGCUGAUUUGCUCAUUUGGUUGAAGUAAAUGUUCAUUAAAGUUCAAGAGGAAUACAUGAUUUUUCUUGGCCUAAUACAUAUAUGACAAGACCAAAGAUAUUUUUCUUGUAUCCAGAGGCUUAAGGUUUGUAUAGAUGAUUCCAGAACCUUGAGAUAAGCUACUCACUAGAUCAAGAAAAGUUGAAGAGUUUAUUGAAUUAGCCCAACAAAAAAGCAUGGAGAUAGGUUUGGCGGUGGUUCCAUAAAUUAUGUGAAGAGACGAGUCAUGACUCAUGAUGAUCUGAUUGGUCAUUUAUAUAUCAAGUAAAUUUUUUGUACUUUUUGAUCAAUUGAACCAUGUUUCAUUGUAAGUAGGGCAGUAAAGUUUUAAUUUGAUUUAUAUAUUAUAUUUUUUUUCUAAGAUUGAGUAGUAUUUACCCUGAGAAAGGAUUACACUAGAAAAGUUUUUUCCUCAACGGUGGUUUUUCACUUGUCCUUUACAUUAGAGGCGGUUUUGUGGCUUUGUGGUAAAUAUAAAGUGUUGAGUUAUUUAUUAUAACUACUAUAAAGGGUUGAAUGAUUUGGUGCUUCUUCCCAUUUGAACUACUACUUUGGUAUGAGUUUAUAAAUGUGGUUUUUUUUAAGCUCAUGUAUAAAAUUGCGGCGGUUUUGAAACCGCCGCAGAUUUUUUUAAAAUCCACUGAGCAAAAUAGCGGCGGUUCUGCAACCGCCGCAAAAUCGAAUAUCUGAUUUGUUGCGGUUGUGCCAGCGGUUUCUCAAAAUCGCCGCAAAAUCAAAUCUCCACCCCCUAAUAGGCAACGCUUGUGGAACCGCUGGAAUUUUGUUUCGCGGCGGUU
Arachis ipaensis is the source of this 1132-nucleotide non-coding RNA. Lineage: Eukaryota; Viridiplantae; Streptophyta; Magnoliopsida; Fabales; Fabaceae. The record is from RefSeq and is a predicted model, not a curated record.